UGAGAAAAGCAGAAGUGAGAGCUUCUCGCCUUGCGACUAACGUUGUCUGGCUCUACGUGUUAAAUUUUCUUCGGAAAGAUAAUGAUGUAGUGGUGGACUUGUGUUAGCAAGUCCACUUUGUUUUUCUCGA
This is a non-coding RNA of Streptococcus cuniculi, 130 nucleotides long. The record is from Rfam. Lineage: Bacteria; Bacillati; Bacillota; Bacilli; Lactobacillales; Streptococcaceae.